CAAUAGCGUAUAUUAAAGUUGUUGCAGUUAAAAAGCUCGUAGUUGGAUUUCUGGUGGGAGCGAUCGGUCUGGCGCUUAGCGCGAGUACUUGCAUCGUCUCCGGCCAUCCUUGGGGAGAGUCUGUCUGGCAUUAGGUUGUCGGGCAGAGGAUCCUCAUCGUUUACUGUGAAAAAAUUAGAGUGUUCAAAGCAGGCUUAUGCCGUUGAAUAUAUUAGCAUGGAAUAAUAAGAUAGGACUUUGGUACUAUUUUGUUGGUUUGCGCACCAAAGUAAUGAUUAAUAGGGACAGUUGGGGGAAUUCGUAUUCCGUUGUCAGAGGUGAAAUUCUUGGAUUUACGGAAGACGAACUACUGCGAAAGCAUUUACCAAGGAUGUUUUCAUUAA
RNAcentral lists this ribosomal RNA (383 nucleotides) under uncultured eukaryote. RNAcentral describes it as "partial 18S ribosomal RNA". It matches the Rfam family "Eukaryotic small subunit ribosomal RNA", at positions 592 to 976 of the family's 1831-position model. The record is from RNAcentral.